RNAcentral lists this unclassified non-coding RNA (287 nucleotides) under uncultured Ascomycota. Its description in RNAcentral is "sequence contains ITS1". The stretch from base 1 to 105 matches the Rfam family "5.8S ribosomal RNA", at positions 50 to 154 of the family's 154-position model. Lineage: Eukaryota; Fungi; Ascomycota. The record is from RNAcentral.
GAAAUGCGAUAAGUAAUGUGAAUUGCAGAAUUCAGUGAAUCAUCGAAUUUUUGAACGCAUAUUGCGCCCUUUGGUAUUCCGAAGGGCAUACCUGUUCGAGCGUCAUUACACCCCUCAAACUUAGGUUUGAUGUUGGGCCAUUGCCCUCUGGGGCAUGCCUAAAAGAUAGUGACGGGCCUUAAUGACCACAGGCGCACAGAUGUCGCAAUGUUGGGAUGUUAAGGUCUUGUCUAAACCCAAUUUUAAAUGUUGACCUCGGAUCAGGUAGGGAUACCCGCUGAACUUAA